CCGCGAUACGCGAGCGCCUCUGCAUCUCCACUACCACCACCCACUACCCACCAUCACACCCUCCUGCUCGGAAUCGAUUUUCCGGUUGCGCGCUUGACGCGUUGAGCCACUCCUUUCCACGAAGGAAAGCGCACACAGGCACGGCGAAACGGUGGUGCCUCCAUGUGGAGGGUGUCGUGCGGCCACCGGGUCGCACCUCGUCGACUUUCGUCCUCUCUUUCAUGACUCUCUCUGAUUUCCCGCUUGACGGCACGCACGGCGGCGAGCGGGGCCCGGGAGGGGGAGGGAAGGGAUCCACGACAACGCUGAGGCUUUGCGGUGUGGUACUCGCGCUGCUGCUCUGGCGUGAUGGCGCGGCUUGGAUGCCGGCACCCCUCCCUCCUCCCCUCUCCCAUCUUUCUCUUCCGUCGUCGGUAUACGUGUUGGACCUUCCCAGCGCCCAAAACUGCGUGGGCGUUAGAGAGAGAGAGAACCCACAAGAGAAAGACAGAGCCGCUCGCCCGGUCGUACGCGCGUGGUGCUUGAAGCCGUUUUCUGGCCGCAUCUCAUCGCACUCUCCCUGUGUCGGAGGUGUUUCAAAGUGCUGCGCGGGAGUGCGGGAGUGCGUGUCUAUGUCACCCACCCACGCAGAGGGCCAGCCGAGCACACAGACGCCCGUGAGCCUUCACGCUCGAGCGGGCACGCGUCCACAGAAAUGGCCCCGCUCGUCAUCGACAUCUUGUCCCUAUUCUCUCCUCUCUUCUUCGUAACGUCGCUUGUUAG
This 762-nucleotide unclassified non-coding RNA is filed under the name Leishmania donovani. Its description in RNAcentral is "gene:unknown". Lineage: Eukaryota; Euglenozoa; Kinetoplastea; Trypanosomatida; Trypanosomatidae. The record is from RNAcentral.